GACAGAGGGUGCAAACGUUGUUCGGAAUUACUGGGCGUAAAGAGCGCGUAGGCGGUCCGGUAAGUCCGCUCUGAAAGUCCGGGGCUCAACCCCGGGAGGCGGGCGGAUACUGUCGGGCUAGAGUCCGGAAGAGGCGAGUGGAAUUCCUGGUGUAGCGGUGAAAUGCGCAGAUAUCAGGAGGAACACCAAUGGCGAAGGCAGCUCGCUGGGACGGUACUGACGCUGAGGCGCGAAAGCGUGGGGAGCAAACAGG
Molecule: ribosomal RNA, 253 nt
Filed under: uncultured bacterium
Lineage: Bacteria
Description: partial 16S ribosomal RNA
Rfam family: Bacterial small subunit ribosomal RNA
Source: RNAcentral